CUAAAACAGAGGAACCCAAAUCGGUGUUAACGCGCUUAGUGCAUGAGGCAGAUGAUCCCUCUGUUGUACUAACAUCUAUUUGGUGUUAUUUCUGCCAUCACUUAAUUGUCAUUUCAUUAUCCGCUGUUAUCUAAUUAUCUCUGCUCUACUAGACUAAUGACUUUUCCUGAAAACAGUGACAAAUCUGCUGUAAAUGAGGUCCAGUGCAAAAUGAUGUUUGCAGAUAGUCCAAAGUCGGUUUUGUAAUAUCACAUAAAACAAUAUUGACAUUGUGUGCAAGAGUUGCUGAUGUUUGGUUUGCAGCCCGAUCUUUAUGAUGUGAAGGAGCUAUUUUUACAGCCUUGACCCACUGAAUGAAAGCAAUAGCCCAGAGUCGAGCUCAGUUGGACGGCACAGCUUGAUUAAAUGAGCCGAGAGCACCGUUAUUGGCUGGGAGACAAGAGUUCAGCCGAGCUCUAUGGAGGAGGAAAACAAUUGAGUGCAACAAGAAGUCUUUAAAAUAGAACAUCUCCACCAAGUGUCCCGCAACACUUCUACUAUGACACAACCUAACCACUAAGAGCUUUGCAGACGAGGAGGAUCUUAAAUGUGUCGAGGAACCGGUCCAGAAAAUCUCAUCUCACUUCCUAAUUCCUGUCAGGACAUGUGCCGCAACAUUCUUGACCGACUUUAUAAUCUUUUGAGACUUGCUGCUGUCUCAUGGCAAGUAUGAAAAACAAUAAUAUAAUGUCGAAACUACCAAAUCUGGAAAUAACUCUGUUACGUGAUUAAAAUAUAUGCAAUCAAUUUAAUGGAGGAAGGAGCUGUGACUCAUUCUGGCUGCCUAAAAUCUUCAUUUGAGUAGAACUGGCGAUAGUUUCAAAUUAGCCAAUUUUGAAUUCAUUACACGUCUUAUUUUGGUCAUAUCUCUUUGCCAGCACCCAGUAAAUGACUCCAAUGUCUCCAAGCAUGCUUACUUUUAAUUUUCAUCUUUCUCCCUCAUCCCCUCUUCUGCUC
Molecule: long non-coding RNA, 996 nt
Organism: Syngnathus acus (greater pipefish)
Lineage: Eukaryota; Metazoa; Chordata; Actinopteri; Syngnathiformes; Syngnathidae
Exons: 3
Source: RefSeq, a predicted model, not a curated record